GUGGUUUGGAACAGGGCAGGGAUGGAGGGAAGGUCCUUGUAUCUUAGACAUCAAAAUCCCAGGAAAAUAAUUAGGAGGUGUUUGGGAUUCUGCUGAAAACUCUGACAACAGGUCACUGUGAACACCAGACAGUCCAGGAAAUCCAAGAAGGCAGCUAACCAAAGGGACUUCAGUAUCUGGAAGACUGGACUGAGGUGGGAGGGUGCUUGACAGCGAUGGUCGCUGACCACACACCUCCUUGAAAGGUGUCGUCGCUCAUUACCAGCCAGUUUUCUUGGACCAGAAAUAUCUCCAAGAGCACCAGCAACCCCAGCUAUCUAGACCCGAAGUGGAUAUACUCAGAGGCAUCCUGGCCUACCCCACCCCUGACCCCAGAGAAGAUGCUGCUGCCCUCAGAAGACGCCAGAGCCAGCCACACUGCAAGUCUGGGAGGAUCGAGCAAGGCAGGCUGCUCAGUGAAGGCUUCCUCUCCUGUAGCAGGAAGAGCAUCGUUAAGAACAAGUAUGCAGGGCUGGACUACUCUGGAGAUGUAAUGACCAGAGCUGAGACCCCCGAGACCAGAGUGACUAUGAAGGACUGUCGUCACCUUGUUCCUGAACAUCUAAUGCCUCUCAGCUCCAGGAGGCCACUGAGGAGAAACCGAAGGCUAGUUUUCCUUGGAAGCCAGCAGCCUGUCCACCUGUUCCACUUCCCUGCCUCUUGCAGCCUCCGCUCAAACACUACCAUGGUUUGGGAGCACGGAAAAACUAGAAAAUACAGAAAUAUAUCAAGAAGAAAGAAAUUUAAAAAUCAACCUGAAUCCCACCAACCAGAGACAGCUAUUAAUGAUUGUGGUAUAUUUAUUGCCCAUGGCAUGGAUGGCACCGACAAUCGAGGCAGGCAGUGCUGGUGGAUACACCUAGGAGGUCCUGUUGGAAGAGGACCAUUCGUGUGCAGAAACGAGGAAAUAGACAUGUAUGAGCUGGAAGAAAAUCUUAUCCGUCUGAUUCAAUUCCCUCAUUUCACAGAAUGGAUGCAGAAUUUUUCAUCUAUGCUGCACCGUGAAAAAUGGAUGUGUUUGGCGCAGAAGUCAUUUGAACGUGAAACCCAGCCUCAGUGGAAAGACAACCUUCAGAAAAACUUUCCAAGUAACUUUUCAUUCGCACUUGCUUCCACCGGGGAAGGUCAGGCUCUUGUGAAAGAUGGAAAUUUCCUGCACAAACCUAGAUGCUGA
Molecule: long non-coding RNA, 1213 nt
Filed under: Callithrix jacchus (white-tufted-ear marmoset)
Lineage: Eukaryota; Metazoa; Chordata; Mammalia; Primates; Cebidae
Description: lncRNA (ENSCJAG00000084666.1)
Source: RNAcentral